GAUCUUUGUGUUCAUGAUCUUUUUUAAUUCAUGCUUUAUUACUAAGCUAGAAUAAUUGACAUGGAUCCUUUGUCCUUGAUAAUUUUAUUGUAUUCUUUGUUUUCUUUUGUGAUUAGUAAUGGUUACAGUGCCCCAUUCUGAUUGUGGGGUUUGUUGCUCUGAUUAUCAGAUAUCUAAGCGAGUUAUUGGGAGAACGUAACAAGCUUAGUCCCUUCAUGGCUGUGCUUCCCCACUGCUAUCGAUUGUUAAACCAAGCUUCAGAGUUCAAACAUGGUAUUAGAGAUCCUGAUUUGCGAGUCUCUAUUUCUGCUUCAUUGGACUUCAUUGCUGAUUUGUUUGGAGAACCCAGCUCUUGUAGUGGGCCAACCCUGGUCGUCAACAUAACUUCCUUUCUCCAUUUGCACACCUUCAUUGUCUGUCCUGUCCUUUCUGUGGAUCUGGAAAAAUAAGCCAUGCCACCCUGAAACUGCCCAAGAAAAUGUAGGGCUUUAAGUUUUGGGUGUAGCCUGCAAAACCCAGUAAAAGCCUGAAAAACCAUCUUUUAUAGGGUUUGAGCUUAAUUUUUUAAAUGCCACAACUGAUUACAGGCUUUUUAAUUGCCCAGAUUCAAUUUGAACCUCUAAAAUAUCUCCAGAACUUGUCCUCAUACUGCAUAACCUCCAGACCGGUCACCCCCUGCCUGAAGCCCUGUUGCUGGAGAUCUCUGCCUUCUUAUGCCUCCUCCCCUGCUGGGGUAUGAACUUCACAUACCAUCUUCCCAGACACCAUUCAACAUUGUGCGUAUCCCAUUUUAUUUGUCGGCAUCCCUCUUUGUUUUGGUGGGUCAUAGCCUGAGCUUCAUGCCUGCACCUUUUGUGGUGGUUCCUUAUUAAAUGCAAAGUCUCUCUCAUGCACAAACCCUAAGCCUUUGUUUGGAAAUUGAGAGGGAAGAAAAUAGAGAGAAGAGAAAAGAAAGAGCUUAGUAGGAUGUGGUGGUGAGGAAGAUUUGGAGGCGGCAGAGACAAAGGAAGGUGAGCUGGCAGAUUCCAUGAAUGGUGCCUGUGAUUGUGGUGGAUGAUUGUUAUGGCAUUUGAGCAUGACUGUGAUGAGAGGUUGAGACCUAUGGGCUGAUGUGAAACUUUUGAAGAAGCAGAAACUCAAAAGAAACAGAGAGAUCAUGACAGUGACUGCAAACAUUUCUGGUGCCCAGUUUGGUUUUGGCUUAAGCAUCUCAGAUGCCAUCCUUUUUCGCUUUGAUAUCAAUGAUUUGGUCUUUAUUCUCCAAUGAGUUGUUGAGUCCUUUCAUUUUGAUCUUUGUCACCCAAUUUGUUAAAAGCACCAUCAUGUCACUUUCCUCUCCAGUUCUAAUAAAUAGUGAUACCCUUUUUUGAUCUUAUUCAGCCUGGUGUUUUGUGUCCAGCUACUAUUUCUAGUUAUAAAUGGUCAGUUUCUUUCAUUGAAGACUGUAUUUGUGUAACUAAGCUUUUCUUGCUGAAAGAUAAAUCGGAAGUAUAUCAAUUGUUUGUCCAGUUUUACCUUAUGGUUUAGGCGCAGUAUGGGAAGCCACUCAAGUGUUUAUGAUCAGUUGAAGUCUAAAG
Cajanus cajan (pigeon pea) is the source of this 1577-nucleotide non-coding RNA. Lineage: Eukaryota; Viridiplantae; Streptophyta; Magnoliopsida; Fabales; Fabaceae. The record is from RefSeq and is a predicted model, not a curated record.